RNAcentral lists this ribosomal RNA (702 nucleotides) under Faecalibacterium prausnitzii. RNAcentral describes it as "bacterial SSU rRNA". It matches the Rfam family "Bacterial small subunit ribosomal RNA", at positions 434 to 1162 of the family's 1533-position model. The record is from RNAcentral. Lineage: Bacteria; Bacillati; Bacillota; Clostridia; Eubacteriales; Oscillospiraceae.
UGUUGUUGAGGAAGAUAAUGACGGUACUCAACAAGGAAGUGACGGCUAACUACGUGCCAGCAGCCGCGGUAAAACGUAGGUCACAAGCGUUGUCCGGAAUUACUGGGUGUAAAGGGAGCGCAGGCGGGAAGACAAGUUGGAAGUGAAAUCCAUGGGCUCAACCCAUGAACUGCUUUCAAAACUGUUUUUCUUGAGUAGUGCAGAGGUAGGCGGAAUUCCCGGUGUAGCGGUGGAAUGCGUAGAUAUCGGGAGGAACACCAGUGGCGAAGGCGGCCUACUGGGCACCAACUGACGCUGAGGCUCGAAAGUGUGGGUAGCAAACAGGAUUAGAUACCCUGGUAGUCCACACUGUAAACGAUGAUUACUAGGUGUUGGAGGAUUGACCCCUUCAGUGCCGCAGUUAACACAAUAAGUAAUCCACCUGGGGAGUACGACCGCAAGGUUGAAACUCAAAGGAAUUGACGGGGGCCCGCACAAGCAGUGGAGUAUGUGGUUUAAUUCGACGCAACGCGAAGAACCUUACCAAGUCUUGACAUCCUGCGACGSWSMURGAAACAGGUCUUUCCUUCGGGACGCAGAGACAGGUGGUGCAUGGUUGUCGUCAGCUCGUGUCGUGAGAUGUUGGGUUAAGUCCCGCAACGAGCGCAACCCUUAUGGUCAGUUACUACGCAAGAGGACUCUGGCCAGACUGCCGUUGACAAA